Molecule: long non-coding RNA, 10266 nt
Filed under: Gossypium barbadense (sea-island cotton)
Lineage: Eukaryota; Viridiplantae; Streptophyta; Magnoliopsida; Malvales; Malvaceae
Description: long non-coding RNA (GBAR_LNC019175)
Rfam family: MIR7502 microRNA precursor family (bases 1989-2134)
Source: RNAcentral
CAACCAAACUGAAACCUCUGCAUUUGUCUGCUAUUGUCGUGAUAAGCCUCAUUUACUUAAAUGCAACCAAGGUACGGCAUACCUGCUUCUUUUUACUCUUCCUGAAUCGUUAAAACACUCCGUUGAAUCAUUGUUCAGAAACAUGGAAUCCAGUUGAUAUCCAGUCGUCUUUUUCUGCUGUUUAUGACCCAGAAUUAACCCCAGCUUUGGGUUCUUAAUUAUCCGAUCUUUUCAGCUUUUACUUCAUUGAUUAGACCUUUAAAAGAAAUCCAUUCAUGGUCUAACUUUUGGAAUUGGUCAGCGGUCCCAGACAGCAGCACCCGUUAAAGGACUAUUCUUCCCAACUAGUUUGGCCCAAACCUCAUCUUCUACUUCUCUUCUUAAUUUCAUUUUCCCCCCUUCAAAUGCAAUGAAAAGGUGCGGCCAAAGUAAUGUUUCUUUUUCUCUCCUUUAAAUUAAGCCACCGAAAUCUUUGGUUAUAUAGAGCAAGUGCCCCCACCUAUUAAAUUACUCUUCUAUUCUAUCUUUUCUCAAUGGUCCCAUUUAAUAUUGGGUCGGUGCAGAUUUGGUUUUAGGCAUAAUCACUUUCCCCCCCUAAUUUUAAAAAACAAUAUUUUAAUUAUCUUGUAAUUUUUUAUCAAUAAAUAAAGAAGUUAUUAACUUUAUUGAUGUGACGUACACGUGAAUACAUAUAAAUGAUAUAUCUAUAUUUUUAAAUUUUUAAAUUUUAAAAAUUUAAUUAAAUGUUAAUGUAUCAUUCAUGUUGUAAUUUACGUGUAUGUAAUAUCAACAAAAUUAAAAGCAUUAAUUUUUCUAUUCAUUUUGAAGUCAUGCAAUAAAAAAACAAAAAGAGUUUAAACACUUAAAAAACGAAAAUUAAAAUAAAUUUUUUAGUAAAAUUGGAGGUUGAAAUAAAUGAUUAUGCUUUGUUUUUAUUCAUGUCAUGGGGAUUUUUUUUUUAAAGCCAACGACAAAAUCCAGUUGAAGAGGAUUCUAAUCUUUCAUAAAUUACUAUCAUUAUGACAUCAGCAUUAGCAGAUAUAGGUCAUUUCUGCUAGUGCGGUCUUAAAGCUAAGCUAUCUUUUACUUGGGAGAAUCUGGAAUUGUAGAGGGUAGGCGCCACCCAUUCUUUGACUUUCCCAAAUGGAUGUUUGUGAUCAAGAUAACUGCUACAUUGAUGUGAAUAUGAAAUUGCCCAAUCUCUUGAACAAACCAUACCUUUGCUUUUGCUUCAAAUAUUAUUCUCUGUUUCCUUUCUAAAUUCCCAUCCCUAUCCAUAUCACAUUAAAGGUGGGUUUGGAUGGGCGAUUGGAUGCGGUGCGAUGCGUUUAACUUACUUUUUGUCUCACGUUACAGUAUCUAAUCUCAUCGCCACCGCUGUUUUUACACUAACCGCAGGUAAACGCACCGCCCAUCCAAACUCACCCUAAAAUUAAGAUAAUAUAAACUCAACAAGGUAAUAGUACCAUCCGACUGUUCCAUUCCAUUCCAUCCCUUAUUGCUAUAUUUUAGAUCACUUCUUUGUAUUGUUGCCAUCUUUUUGACAACCUUAGUAUGCAAACUCGCACUAUAACCUGAUUUAUCGAGUCAUGUCAUGAUACAUAAUUUGAAAUUGUUCUGUUUAGAUAUGAAAUAGGGUUGCACUGCCUUAUAGGCAAGUUUAGGAUAUCAUUAAUCAACUUUUAAGUGUAGGAACAAAAUAAUAAUAUCUUUUCUUUGGAUUGUUACAUGUUUUUGCUUCUGUUUCUUGUUUCAUAGCUGAAAUUGGGACCAUAAAAUGUGAUAUAGACGGCUGAUAAUUGACCCUUUGUAGGAAUUAGGAUUACAUGUCUUUAGAAAUGUUGAGAGCUCUGAUGGAUUAUUUAUCAGUAAAAGUAUCAUGGAGGCUCCUGUGUAUUAUUAUCCAGAUUGUAUUUUGCUUCUCUCUAUUAAAAAAAUUGGGUAAAUUAAUCCAUGUAUGUUAAAUCAAAUAACAAAUCAAUCUUAUUUGUUAAAAAUUCAUCUAUUUGUACUAUUAAAAAUUGGUGUGGCUAACGGAAUAAUCAAAUAAUGAUACAUAACUAGUCACAUGUGUACCUUAUGUUGAUGUACAAGAAUUAGUUUUAAAUAAUAAAAAUAGAGGAAAUUUUUAACAAAAGAAUCAAGUUGCUUUUUGAUCUGUCUAAUUUAUCCAAUACAAUCCGACUUUUAGUAUAGGUACUCCACUUUAACUUUUUUCAUUAUUUUUCCCAUUUGCCAUAUACCAUAUUCAUUUAAUUUCUCUAAAAAAACCAAUUUUUUUCUAUUUCAGGCCGGCAUGGUUCUAACUUGGCAAAAAAGCUUGCAAUCGGUAAUAUACUCCCCCGAUUCUCCCCUGUUCCAUUCAUCUCUUCUGGCAGUGUGUUGCUGCAUUUUCAUCUUCUUUUUCACCAACUUGAUACGAAUUUUCAAUAAACGCAGGUUUUGGAGCGGCUGCUGGAGGCAUAAUAAUCUCGGCCAUCGCUUUCUAUUUCUGGUUGCGCCAUCGCCGUGGAAAGGAGUUCUUUAAAUCAUCUUAUGCAUGGAGCAAAAGCUUUUCCGAUCGUUCUUUCAUGAUGGAUCCUGAGAAGGUCAAAAGCUUGGCUGGUGUCCAUCUCUUCACCUAUAAAGAACUUGGAGAAGCUACCAACAAUUUUGAUUCCAAUAAGGAACUUGGUGAUGGAGGCUUUGGAACCGUAUAUUAUGGUAAGAAAAAGAUACAAAACCGAAUCAUUAGAUUGUCGAUGUUCUAUUAUUCUCUCAUCCAUCUUCCUUGACUAGGCAAACUUCGAGAUGGACGCGCGGUUGCGAUUAAACGUUUAUAUGAAAACAACUACAAGAGAGUUGAGCAAUUCAUGAAUGAAGUUUGGAUCCUAACCAAAUUGCAUCACAGAAAUCUCGUAUCGCUUUACGGAUGCACCUCUCGUCACAGUAGGGAACUGUUGCUGGUAUAUGAAUAUGUUUCUAAUGGCACUGUUGCCGAUCACCUUCAUGGACAACGUGCUAAACCGGGUGCGCUCUCUUGGUCCAUUCGCUUAGAUAUAGCCAUAGAGACUGCAGAUGCACUCAGCUAUCUCCAUGCUUUUAAAACCAUCCACCGUGAUGUGAAAACCAACAAUAUCCUCCUCGACAACAAUUUCACAGUUAAAGUUGCCGAUUUCGGACUGUCUCGUCUUUUUCCAUCUAAUGUUACCCAUGUUUCCACUGCUCCACAAGGGACUCCCGGUUAUGUCGAUCCCGAAUAUCACCAAUGCUACCAGCUUACCGAGAAGAGUGAUGUGUUUAGCUUUGGGGUUGUACUCGUUGAGCUAAUAUCAUCAAAACCAGCCGUAGACAUCACGAGGCACAGACACGAGAUCAAUUUGUCGAACAUGGCUAUCAAUAAGAUUCAAAACCGAGCAUUACAUGAACUAGUGGAUCCAUCUCUCGGGUUCGAAUCAGACUACAAGGUUAGGAAAAUGAUAACGGGUGUAGCAGAGGUGGCAUUCCAGUGCCUGCAAAACGAGAAAGAGAUGAGACCAACAAUGGCACGAGUGUUGGAGGCCCUAAAGGGUAUACAAAAUGAGGAUUACAAUAAAGCAAAGGCAGAAGAGAUGGAUAUUUCAGCAGAUGAUGUUGGGUUGUUGAAGAGUGGACCAUUGCCACAUUCUCCAGAUUCUGUGAUGACAAAAUGGCAUAGCUCCUGUACAAUACAGUCAAAUAGUACGAGUUAACUUAAAUUUCACUAAAUUUCGAGGCAUAUAGUAAAGGAAACACUGUCAACCUGUACUAUAAUUUUUCUUUCCAUUUGUGCUUCACCUUGAAUGGUAAAUGGGAUGUAAAUAUUAUAUAGGAUAAGCGGUGUAUGAAAACCGUCAGCUUUGGCAUUCAAAUUUUCAGCUGAUUCCAGCUUUUUGAUUAACAAGUUGCAUAAAUUAGAUAAACAAAUUAAUUGUUUAAUUUAAUACUUCUGACAAAGGAUAUGUUCUUUUGGCUUUUAGUAUGUUUAAGGAACUUUGAGCUAGACAUGUUUCUUUCUUUGUUUACUCCUUGUAGGCAAAUAUAUAAAUAUGAAUUUAUGUUGAAUGGGUUGAAAAUUUGAUGUCCCUCAAGAGUUAAAAUCACUGUUAGUGUCUACAAACAUUAUGUUUUGUUCACUCUAUUAGAAUAGAAUUAUAAUAGAAUGCUAUUAUGUAGGAAUAAAAUAGAGCUUUAAUGGAAUAAGAGUAUUGCAAUAAUUUCGUUGCAUGGAAUAGAAUGAGUAUUAUAAUAAUAUUUCUAUGUUUGAUUCAAAGAAAUAGAUACUCUAAUAGCAUGAGAAAAAGAAUGAAAUCACUAAUAUAUCCUUUAAUUUUUUUAUAAAAAUAUUCAACUAUGUUUAAAGACUUAAAUAACCAAUAUACCUUUUUAUUUUAAAAACUAAAAUAUCCAAAAAUGUUAAAAUUUUGAAAUGACCAAUAUGCCUUUUUAUAAUUUUUUUAAUAUAUAUAUAUUUAUCAAAUAUAAUAUUCUUGAUUAUAUUUUAGGGAACUUGACUCUACACUAACCAAAAUGAUAUUAAUUUUACCUUAAAAUAUAUUCUAAAAGAACUAAUAUCGUCAGUAUUAUAAAUUGUGAGGUGAAAAUGGCAAAGGAAAAAUAUGAUAUUUAAUUUACCAUGAUGAAAUUAUUAUAAUUGCAUUCAAUAAUAAAUAUUAUGCUCAGAGAAUCAAAAAUUUUCUAGUGAGAGGUCAAAAUAAAAUUAAUUUGAAUGACUUAAAAUUAUAAGUUUAAACAAUUGAAAAAAAUCUUUGAAACCUGAGAGAAAUCUUCUAUCAUUGAGGUUUUGAAUUGCUAAAGCCUAAUAAGACCAAAAGAUUUAUAGAAUUUGAUUAUAAUUGAUGCAUUAAAAUAGUUGAUGGUGAUUGUUUGAUUCAGGUAUGCUUGAUAUAGAUUUGUGAGUUGUAAAUUGAAUAUGUCAUGAUAAGUAGAAGAAAGUUACAAAAAUUGGUAUGCUAAGUAACAUAUAUUAUUUGAUGAUCUUGUACAUUGUUUAAACUCACCUUGUUGAUGUUUGAGUGCCAUGUCUUAGCCAAUAACAUGUCAAACUAAGGUUGCAUUUAUACUUGCAUAAUAUUAAGGUAAAUAUAGUAACUUUCAAAUGAACAUAUUAAGCAUUCUAUAUGCUUACACUAAUUGCUUUCUUCCUUUGUAGAUUGUCACUUUGCGGAACUCACGAGUUAGAUUGAAGAGAAGCUCACACUAUCAUCAAAUCAGUAAAGUUGUGCUCAUUUUGGUUAUAGUGUUGUGACAUGCAUAUAGGAUCAACGUGUCACUUGAAUUGAGAACAUAAUGUAUGUAUUAAGAAGUAGUUUUGGUAAUGUUUAUGUUUGCACUUGGUUGAUGUUGGAUGUUAAGUUGAUAAAUGACUUAGAUGAUGCAUGUUUAGUUAUGUUUGAUGUUAUUAAAAAGCGUGAUCAUGAAUUUGUAUGAAUUGAUAAGUUGAGGAUUGGAAAGGGAAGUAAUUAAAGCAUAACAAGAUGACAUAUAAGCUAGAAUUGGUAUGUUUAGGUGUAAAGGUGAGUUAGAACUCCAUUGAUGAUUUUGUGAUAGUUGAUAUAUUCAAUACUUGAUUGUAAUGGUUAUGUGGUCUUGUUGACAUAAAGUGGUAUGGAAUUGAGAUUUUUUUUUAUUGUAAAUAGAUGUAUGAAUCAAUUAAGUUGAGUUGCAAGUUAUUAAGUUGGAACCAAAUGAUAUUUUUGCUAAAAAAGGGGUAUCGUCACGACUACCAACAUCUCAACGUGAGCUGAAAGUGAGUGACGUCGCAACGUUGAUAAGCUUGAAGUUGCGACGUGACUCACUGACUUGGUGACAUCAUGACGUGGAAAUUCUAAAGUCGUGACGUCAAUUCGUGAAUUUCAAAACUUUACAAUUCGGUCCUAAUUCAUGCUCGGGUUAACUAACGAGCUUUUGUAAGCUCAUGUAGGACCUAAAAAUAAUUAGGAUACAUAUUUAGAAUGUGAAUGAUAUUUGUUUGCUUAUGUGAUUGGUUGAAUGUUGUAAUAUUGUCUAAAGUUGCUCCGACAACAAAUGUAGUAUCCUACAGCUCGGACUCGAUGAUCGGGUCGAGUGAUGGGUGUUACAUAGCCUCACAUGAUAUUGAGCAACACAAUGGACACAAUGGAAAUUUGCGGUGUUUCUAAAAAAGUGCCGCUAAUGCUCGAUCUAUUGCGGCGUUUUUUGAAAAAGCGCCGCUAAUUCCACUAAAUCUCAACCCAAUUUUUCUUUCUUAGAAUUUAUGUCAAAGUUAAACAUUCAAAACAUUAUAACCUACCCAAUAUGAAAUUUAAACUAAAAUAAAUCUAAACAAUAUUCCCACAUGAUUUAUUACUAGGUCAUUUUAUGUAGGAAGUUGGAAAUAAUAAGAAUGGAAGUUAUUACUUUUAAUUGUUUAACAUAGGUUAGAAUAGUAUUUUUUUUUUUUUACAUUUAGAUGUAAGUUCUCAUACAGUACUUUUACUUCUUAGAUUUCCAACAGUUAAUACUAUUAUUUUUUUUGUUAAAUUUUAAUUUUAUUAUAACUUUAUUUUUUUGUUAUAUGGUUACUAAGUGAAUAUUUUUUUUAAUUUUAUAAUAUCACAUUAACAAUUAAAAAAUAAUUUUAACAGUAUUAAUAAUUAAACUUAAAUUUUUAAAUUCGUAAAGUAAAUGAACUAAAUUUUUAAAAAUAAAAGUAAAAAGACUAAAUUCCAAAUGUACAAAAAGUAUAAGAAGAAAUUGAAGUAUAUUUUAUCUUAACUUAUAAUAUCCAUCACAAUAUUUGUGAUAUUCUUUAGAGGAAUUUUUUAUGAAAAAAAUGUUUAACCUAUAAUAUAAGUACGGGAUAAAUUAUAUUAGUAUCACCUAAAAAUUUUAGUUUUUAGGUACCAAUGGAAUAAAGUUAUGUCAUCAAUUUUUAAGAACAUAAAAUUUUUAUCAUAUGCACAUCCGUAUACAAUCCCUCUCUAUUUUAGGUGUUGUUUGAUAAAUUAAAAAAGUAAGUAUUAAAAAAAUAAGUUUUGAAAAAUUAAUUAUUGAAAAUUUAAGUACUUAAUUUAAGUUAGGGUAAACUACACCCGCGGUCACUUUUGUUUACCUUAGGUUACAUUUUAGUCACUUAUGUUUGAAAUGUUACGUUUUAGUCACUUACGUUAUCGUGUUGUAACAUUUUAGUCAUUAAGCCGUUAAUUGUCGUUAAUGAUGUAAUAGUAAGUUGACGUGGCACGUUAAAUUAUCAUUACAAACAAAAAUUUUAGGUUAAAUUAUACAAUUGGUCCCCAUAAUUUUUCGUUUUGAGCAAUUUAAUUCUUUUAUGUUCUUUUAACUUUCUUUCUUUUUUUCUUUAUUUUCCAUUCUCUUCUGCUUAUUCCUCUGUUUUCCUACCUUCUCUAUUUCUUUUAACAUACCAGGAAGUCGAAUUGGCAGUGAAGAAAGAAGCAUGGAAUGGGUUUAUGGGUUUUGGUUAUAGGCAAUGAUGACAGUCGACUUCCUACUUUUUCAUUGCCAAUUCGACUUCCUACUAUGUUAAAAGAAAUGAGAAAAGUAUGAAAACAGAGGGAGAAACAAAAGAGAAAAAUUUAAAGAACAUAAAAGAAAAAAAAUUAAAUUGCUUACGACGAAAAAAAUAUGGGGAUCAAUUGUAUAAUUUAACCUAAAAUUUUGUUUGAAAUAAUGAUUUAACGUGCCGCGUCAGCUUAUCGUUACACCAUUAACGUAUAUUAAUGGCUCAGUGACUAAAAUGCUACAACAUGAUAACGUAAAUGACUAAAACAUAACAUUUCAAACAUAAGUGACUAAAACGUAACCUAAGGUAAACAAAAAUGACCAUGGGUGGAGUUUACCCUUCUAAGUUAGAAAAUUUGUUUGAUAUAUUACUUAAAAUUAAUUAUAGAAUAUAAUUAGAUUGUUUGACAAAUAUAGAUUUUAAAUUAUAAAAAAAAUAUAUUCUACAUUAUAUUUUUAAUUUUUAAACAUUCCACCUUAUUCUAAAUAAAACUUAAAAUUUUGAACGUAAAAUUUGUAUAGGAUAAUAUAAAAUUAAAAUGAAUAAAGUAAAAUUGCAAUAACUGAAAAUAUUCUUCAUUAUUUUCCACACUUAUUAUUUUCCACACUUUUUUUAUAGAAAAAAAUAUUAUCAAAUUGCUUUAAUUUUGGAUUAUCAAACUAAAUCCAUUGAAAAUAAAUUUAAUUUUUUAAUAAUUUAUCAAACAAUUAUUUAAUAAAAUUUAAUUUAAUUAUUUAUAAAAUAAACAAACUAAUGCAAGAAGAUAAAAGAUUGGAUUAGAGAGUAACAACAUUAAUUGAAAAAAUAGAUUAGACCAACCUCAGAUUGAAUUGGAAACAAUGAUACUGUCUAAUUUAAAGUAACAUAUUAUUUAUAUAAAAAACUUGGAAUCAAUAUAGAAUCAUUUUAACCAAUCAAACAUCAAAUAAAAAUUUUGAUUAUGAUUUAUGAGAUUUGAAAAUAAAAAUUAAAACCCUGGUUAUUAGACAGGGGGUUGGGUAUGAAUAUAAGACAAGAGUAAGUGGCAGUAUGUUAUCCAGGCUGACAUCUUCUGCCCAGUACUUAUUUUAUUAGACCUGUUGGGCUUUAGCAAGGAAAUGAGUGAAAAAUAGGAAUAAACCAAAAAUAAAUGUGUCUCUCAUUUAAUUUAAAUAAAGUUUAAUCCGCUUGAAAUAAAAAAAAAAUAUCACUUAUCGGUUUGAUCAACGGUUGUAAUAACUUGCAAAAAGAAAAAAUAGUUUAGAUAAUAAUAAUAAUAAUAAUAAUAAUAAUAUUAUUAUUAUUAUUAUUAUAUAUGUAUUGAUACAUAAAUUUGAAGUGUUUUUAUAUUUAUGUUGUAGUUAUCACACUUUUUUUUUUGUCAUAGUAUGGUAUUUUGAUUAUUAGGUUCAAAAUUAAGAAUGAUGCUAGUCAUUUAAGUGGUGGAAAACUAAAAAUUCCUAGUGGAGUGGUAAACCUUCCGUGCCAAAAACUUGAAACGAGAUUUUUGGAGUGAAGAUGAUUUGUCCAUGAAAAAUAAGCCACUAAAUGGCAUUACGUCAUUCAACCACAUGUGAAGUACCUUUCCACAAGUCAAGGUCAGCACCCUUGUAUCUCUUGGAAAUUUUGUAACCCCCCUCCUUCCUCUUCUGUUAAAUUUCCAACCCAACCCCAUUUUUUGUCUCCCCAAUCUAUCUGACCUUCUCACUCUGUUUUUAUAUGUACAUAUAAACCCUUUUUCACUUUAAACCAACUAUUCACUCAUUCUUCCAUGGAUGCCUUCUUCCUUUCACCAUCUUCCUUCUCCAUCUUAUUCCUUUUAACUAUUUUCCAGCUGUCUUACGCCCGAGAUGAUUUCCACUUUACUUCAUGCGCUCCAUUUGAUUGUGGAAACCUUGUUAAUAUUUCAUAUCCUUUCUGGACCCAUCAAUAUAAUCGACCUUCAUAUUGCGGUUACGGUGAUGAAGGGUAUAAGCUGAAGUGCAGGCAGAAUCAGCCCCCUGUUAUGACGCUCAGUUCCCAAGAAUUCUAUGUGCUGCAUCUCAAUCGGUCUCAUAGUUUGUUGACAAUCAGACGAGUGGAAUUAAACAACACCUGUCCUCAGCCGAUUUUGAUGAACAAUGCUUUUAAUUAUACUGAAACUGCUGAAAACAUUACGCUGUUCUACGACUGCCGAAGCAGGGGAGGUCCGAAUCAUCGUUUCAGCUGCAGAAAGGGUGGAAAAGAAACUUCCCUCAUGUUCUUUAAGGAGGAUGAAAAUGAAUGUAUUGGAAACAGUGAACAAGUUGAAAUUCCUAUUGGGAAAAAGGCCUUUGAUGAUCUGAUUGGCGGAAUCAGCACUGUUAAUGAAAGUUUAGUCCAACCCUUUGAUAUUAGAUACUUUGCAUACGAUCCUUAUUGCAAACACUGCAAGGAUUCUGGCGGAAGAUGUGGACACAACCAAACUGAAACCUCUGCAUUUGUCUGCAAUUGUCGUGAUAAGCCUCUUUUACUUAAAUGCAACCAAGGUACGGUAUACCUGCUUCUUUUAACUCUUCCUGAAUCGUUAAAACACUCCGUUGAAUCAUUGUUCAGAAACAUGGAAUCCAGUUAAUAUCCAUUCGUCUUUUUCUGCUGUUUAUGGCCCAGAAUUAACCCCAGCUUUCGGUUCUUAAUUAUCCAAACCUUUAUAUCAUUUUCUCUUCUCUGUAUUAUUGCCCUCUUUUAUACAACCUUAUUAUGCAAACUGGCACUAUAACCCGACCUAUCGAGCCAUGUCGUGAUACAUGAUCUGAAAUUGUUCUGUUUGG